AGGUGACUUUGAGCCGGGUACAGGGCACCGCAAGCUGCCGGUCGUUUUGGCGGACAUUGCGGUUAAGGUUAGACCACAAAAUAAGAC
Long non-coding RNA from Sander lucioperca (pikeperch), 87 nucleotides. RefSeq lists it as uncharacterized. The record is from RefSeq and is a predicted model, not a curated record. Lineage: Eukaryota; Metazoa; Chordata; Actinopteri; Perciformes; Percidae. The transcript is spliced from 3 exons.